UAACUGAAGAGUUUGAUCAUGGCUCAGAUUGAACGCUGGCGGCAGGCCUAACACAUGCAAGUCGAGCGGAAACGAUCCUAGCUUGCUAGGAGGCGUCGAGCGGCGGACGGGUGAGUAAUGCAUAGGAAUCUGCCCGGUAGUGGGGGAUAACUUGAGGAAACUCAAGCUAAUACCGCAUACGCCCCAAGGGGGAAAGCAGGGGAUCUUCGGACCUUGCGCUAUCGGAUGAGCCUAUGUCGGAUUAGCUAGUUGGUGAGGUAAUGGCUCACCAAGGCCGCGAUCCGUAGCUGGUCUGAGAGGAUGAUCAGCCACAUCGGGACUGAGACACGGCCCGAACUCCUACGGGAGGCAGCAGUGGGGAAUAUUGGACAAUGGGCGAAAGCCUGAUCCAGCCAUGCCGCGUGUGUGAAGAAGGCCUUCGGGUUGUAAAGCACUUUCAG
This 440-nucleotide ribosomal RNA is filed under the name Halomonas sp. ND22Bw. RNAcentral describes it as "bacterial SSU rRNA". It matches the Rfam family "Bacterial small subunit ribosomal RNA", at positions 1 to 439 of the family's 1533-position model. Lineage: Bacteria; Pseudomonadati; Pseudomonadota; Gammaproteobacteria; Oceanospirillales; Halomonadaceae. The record is from RNAcentral.